This 438-nucleotide ribosomal RNA is filed under the name uncultured bacterium. RNAcentral's name for it is "partial 16S ribosomal RNA". It matches the Rfam family "Bacterial small subunit ribosomal RNA", at positions 339 to 795 of the family's 1533-position model. The record is from RNAcentral.
CUACGGGUGGCUGCAGUGAGGAAUAUUGCACAAUGGGGGGAACCCUGAUGCAGCAACGCCGCGUGGAGGAUGACGCAUUUCGGUGUGUAAACUCCUUUUAUAUGUCAAGAAAAUGACGGUAGCAUAUGAAUAAGCGCCGGCUAACUCCGUGCCAGCAGCCGCGGUAAUACGGAGGGCGCAAGCGUUACUCGGAAUCACUGGGCGUAAAGGACGCGUAGGCGGGUUGAAAAGUCAGGUGUGAAAGCCUACAGCUUAACUGUAGAACUGCACUUGAAACUCUCAAUCUAGAGUAUGGGAGGGGCAGAUGGAAUUAGUGGUGUAGGGGUAAAAUCCGUAGAUAUCACUAGGAAUACCUAAAGCGAAGGCGAUCUGCUGGAACAUUACUGACGCUAAGGCGUGAAAGCGGGGGAGCAAACAGGAUUAGAUACCCUUGUAGUC